This 507-nucleotide ribosomal RNA is filed under the name uncultured bacterium. RNAcentral describes it as "partial 16S ribosomal RNA". It matches the Rfam family "Bacterial small subunit ribosomal RNA", at positions 28 to 507 of the family's 1533-position model. The record is from RNAcentral.
GACGAACGCUGGCGGCGUGCCUAAUACAUGCAAGUCGAACGCAUUUUCUUUCACCGUAGCUUGCUACACCGAAAGAAAAUGAGUGGCGAACGGGUGAGUAACACGUGGGUAACCUGCCCAUCAGCGGGGGAUAACACUUGGAAACAGGUGCUAAUACCGCAUAAUUCCAUUUACUGCAUGGUAGAUGGAUGAAAGGCGCUUUUGCGUCACUGAUGGAUGGACCCGCGGUGCAUUAGCUAGUUGGUGGGGUAACGGCCUACCAAGGCUGCGAUGCAUAGCCGACCUGAGAGGGUGAUCGGCCACACUGGGACUGAGACACGGCCCAGACUCCUACGGGAGGCAGCAGUAGGGAAUCUUCGGCAAUGGACGCAAGUCUGACCGAGCAACGCCGCGUGAGUGAAGAAGGUUUUCGGACCGUAAAACUCUGUUGUUAGAAAAGAACAAGGAUGAGAGUGGAAAGUUCAUCCCUUGACGGUAUCUAACCAGAAAGCCACGGCUAACUACGUG